AGAACAACAACGAUGGUGGCUACUUGAAGGCCCCUUUACUGCAGCUGUCUGUGGGCUGCAGCUCCCGCUUAAAAAGGAGACGAAGACAUGCAGCAGCUUUGGCUUCCGGUCCGAGAAAACAUGGUGCUUGGUAGGAAACCCCAGAGAGAGGAGCUCUGUUGCAUAGCUGCUGAAGCAUCCGUACCUCCGGCUGAAGCCACGUUAUCCCCUGAUCCAGGUACAGAUGAGGAAAGUAAAAUGAUUGACGUUGUUUGGUGCCAACAACACGCAUUGUCUACAGUCCAAACGGCAACCGUAAGAGGAUCCUAACAGACCUGCCAACCUCUCAGCCUACGAGCAGCAGAAUCCUCUGAGCAGCUGAUAAUUUGGCCAGAACUGUACAGCAGCAGCAGCAGAAGAGGCUGGAUGUCACAGAGUGUACA
Long non-coding RNA from Girardinichthys multiradiatus, 422 nucleotides. RefSeq lists it as uncharacterized. NCBI's taxonomy places the organism in Eukaryota, Metazoa, Chordata, Actinopteri, Cyprinodontiformes, Goodeidae. The record is from RefSeq and is a predicted model, not a curated record. The transcript is spliced from 3 exons.